AAGUCAUCAUGGCCUUACGACCAGGCAACACACGUGCUACAAUGGUCGGUACAAAGGGUUGCUACACAGCGAUGUGAUGCUAAUCUCAAAAAGCCGAUCGUAGUCCGGAUUGGAGUCUGCAACUCGACUCCAUGAAGUCGGAAUCGCUAGUAAUCGCGGAUCAGAAUGCCGCGGUGAAUACGUUCCCGGGCCUUGUACACACCGCCCGUCACACCAUGGGAGUUUGUUGCACCAGAAGUAGGUAGUCUAACCGCAAGGAGGACGCUUACCACGGUGUGGCCGAUGACUGGGGUGAAGUCGUAACAAGGUAACCGUA
This 316-nucleotide ribosomal RNA is filed under the name uncultured Acinetobacter sp. Its description in RNAcentral is "bacterial SSU rRNA". It matches the Rfam family "Bacterial small subunit ribosomal RNA", at positions 1187 to 1504 of the family's 1533-position model. Lineage: Bacteria; Pseudomonadati; Pseudomonadota; Gammaproteobacteria; Moraxellales; Moraxellaceae. The record is from RNAcentral.